Bos taurus (domestic cattle) is the source of this 483-nucleotide long non-coding RNA. NCBI's taxonomy places the organism in Eukaryota, Metazoa, Chordata, Mammalia, Artiodactyla, Bovidae. The record is from Ensembl.
UGGCUAACCAAAAGACCAGGACUCUGGUCUCAACCCUGCCAUUGACUCACGGGGUAUCUGGGGCUUGGAGUACCAACAGGGACUUCCCUGGUGGCCCAGUGGUUAAGAAUUCACCUUCCAAUAUAGGGGACCUGGGUUCAAUCCCUGGUCCGGGAAGAUCACACGUGCCACUAAGCCCACAUAUCACAACUACUGAGCCUGUGAGCUUCAGCUAGAGAAAGGUGCCCAUGCCACAACGAAGAGACCACAGUGAAAGAGCCUGUAUGCCACCAUGAAGAUGCCGUGUGCUGCAACGAAGAUCCAACACAGCAGGUUUUCUCUGGUAUUGACAUUAGGGUCACAGAAGAUGCACAAAAUGCAUGCAGAAUCAGUACUGCAAAACUGCAGGGGAUGGACUGAAGCCUUUCUCGUCAUCCCGCACUCCAUCACGAAGUCCCGUCAUAAGAGAUGGUUCACGUGUGCCUUUUGGCUCCUAUUCGCUGC